AAAGCACUCGGUUAGAGAGAAGGUGGCAGCCUGGACUAAAGCUCAGGGUAGGUAGGUGUAAGAAUGUACCAAGGAGUGAUGUUAAUUCAGCUUUGUGUGUGUGAUUAUUACAUGGGGUCUUAACCAUGUAAUAGGUCUUUAAUGCCCUGAGCCUCCAACAUGAGUGUAAUGGCAGCCAAAUAUCCUGGCAUUGGAGCAUUUCUCUAAUACAGAAGCUGCAACCCUGAACUGAGCAACCAAAUUGCUCCUAUGGUGAUAUGGAAACCUCAGGGAACUGCAUCUGGUGAAUCUUGAAGAUCUGUGCCUGAGAAAAGCUCUACCUUUCCUUGUGUGAGCAGCUGUCUGGUGCUAUGUGGAUGUUUAAGCAGUGAACUGCUUGGCAAUAAAGAAUCCCAUGCAGCAGCUUGGACUUGCCUUGUUGCAUUGCUCAGUGAUACUGCUGACCUCAGUCCAGAAGUGAAAGUGAAAAUCCAUUAUGAAACCUAGUUGAAUUAUAAAGAAGGAGGAACCCGUAGUGUGUCUUUUUCUCUGGGAUCCAAGAGGCUUCUGCAUCUCCUGUGCAGGGCUCUGGAAGAGAAGCUGAAUGAUUGGGAGUUGGAAAGAACUGCUCAGACACUCGGAGAAGGGAAUGGAAGAGGCAGGAAAGCUUCCUCAGACAAAGCAGCUUUUGAGGAAGAUGACUAAGGGAGGAGCCUGGUGAGCCUGACCUGGGACCACAGAGGAUCUCAGAGAACAUCCAGCACCACUGGAACUGAGCACCCAGGGCAGCCAGAUGGACUCUCCCCACCUCAUGGGGUUGUGUUUCCUGCUCCUGGCUGUUGCAGCUCCCCGUCCAAAUAUUGCCAUGGCCAGUGGUGACUCCGCUGAGAGAACACAUGACUCUUCAAAUGUGACA
Molecule: long non-coding RNA, 895 nt
Organism: Corapipo altera (White-ruffed manakin)
Lineage: Eukaryota; Metazoa; Chordata; Aves; Passeriformes; Pipridae
Exons: 4
Source: RefSeq, a predicted model, not a curated record